Molecule: long non-coding RNA, 718 nt
Organism: Tachysurus vachellii
Lineage: Eukaryota; Metazoa; Chordata; Actinopteri; Siluriformes; Bagridae
Exons: 3
Source: RefSeq, a predicted model, not a curated record
CUUGGAACAGGGGUGUUGUACUUCGAAUUCAUGGACGAUGCCGGACUUCUGUGCUGCGUUUAGAUGUACAAAUGAACGAAAUCUAAAAACCAGACAGCAAGGGAUUACAUUUCACAAGGGUGACGGAGGACCAGAGGGGCGGUGAGCCGCUGGUGAGGGUCCACAUGCAGCAUUUUAGUCACGAUGUCCUACAAACACAAGAGCGUUUACAACCGAGGAACAAAUACACACCUCUAUAAUGCUGACAAGGAAGACUUCAGAUAAAUUUGUCGACAGGUGUCAGGCAGACGGCACCGAAUCACGCCCACAAAGACAAGCUGUCAAGCUCGCUGAACAGAUUUAAAACUAGCCGUGGUUUGCUUGCGGAAGGCCUACGGAGUGAUCGUUUUCAUUACAAUAAAACCUACAAUCAAAUGCAAAAAUAUCUACAUUCAAAAGUAUUCCUUUAAGAUCUGGAACUAUAUUAGAAAUAAACAUUUUGCCCAAAUCAGAUGUGUUAUGUGAACAGAAAAAAGGAAUUCAUUGUGUUGGAAGUCAUUCCAAAACCGUGACCUGACAUCGUCCUUAUGUAAAACAUAAUCCGCACUGAAAAAUCCAUGUCUGUUGCUGUUGUUACUAUAGCAACAAGAGUGGCUAUGCAAGCACAUGCAACUACAAGCUGAAGUAACAAAUCUGAUCUCUUGAACACUUUUAAGGUUCAACGCAGAGACUAAAUGAA